Salmo salar (Atlantic salmon) is the source of this 54-nucleotide non-coding RNA. Lineage: Eukaryota; Metazoa; Chordata; Actinopteri; Salmoniformes; Salmonidae. The record is from Rfam.
CCUAAUUACGCCUGUAAGUCGCUCUGGAUAAGAGUGUCUGCGAAAUGACGUAAA